GAAUAUAGGGGGACCACCCUCUAAGCCUAAAUACUCUUCAGUGACCGAUAGUGAACUAGUACCGUGAGGGAAAGGUGAAAAGAACCCCUAUUAGGGGAGUGAAAUAGAACCUGAAACUGCAUGCCUACAAUCAGUCGAAGCUCUUUUUAGAGUGAGGGCGUACCUUUUGUAUAAUGGGUCAGUGACUUAAUUUAUUAAGCAAGCUUAAGCCAUCUAGGUGUAGGCGCAGCGAAAGCAAGUCUUAAUAGGGCGAUUAGUUUAAUGAAUUAGACCCGAAAACGAAUGAGCUUACCAUGAGCAGGUUGAAAGUUGGGUAACACCAACCGGAGGACCGAACCAGUUGACGUUGAAAAGUCUUUGGAUGACUUGUGGUAAGGGGUGAAAGGCCAACCAAAUUCGUAGAUAGCUGGUUUUCCGCGAAAACUAUUUAGGUAGUGCGUUGAAUAAAUAGAUGUUUAGAGGUAGAGCACUAAAUGGGCUAGGGGGAAGAGAUUCUUACCAAACCUAAUAAAACUCCGAAUGCUAGACAUUGUUCUUCGGCAGACAGACUGUGGGUGCUAAGGUCCAUGGUCGAGAGGGAAAGAGCCCAGACCACCAGAUAAGGUCCCAAAAUCAUGAUUAAGUGUGAAAGGAUGUGGAAAUUCCUUAACAGCCGGGAGGUUGGCUUAGAAGCAGCCAUCCUUUAAAGAUAGCGUAACAGCUCACCGGUCUAAUAGAGUUUCUGCGCCGAAGAUGUAACGGGGCUAAAAUCAUGUACCGAAUCUGUGGCUUUGCAAAGUUUUCGAACUUUGUAAGGGGUAGCGGAACGUUCUGUAAGCCUGCGAAGGGAUACCCGUGAGGGAUCCUGGAGGUAUCAGAAGUGCGAAUGCUGACAUAAGUAACGAUAAACGAAGUGAAAAACUUCGUCGCCGAAAAUCUAAGGGUUUCUAUGCAAGGUUAAUCCGCGUAGAGUUAGUCGGCACCUAAGGCGAGGGCGAAAGCCGUAGUCGAUGGAAACAAGGUUAAUAUUCCUUGACCUGAUGGUAGUGACGGAUUUCGUAAGUUGUGAGUUCUUAAUGGAUUGAACUUGCCGCGAAGAAGUCCCAAGAAAUAGCUCCAUCAUGAAGACCGUACCCGAAACCGACACAGGUAGAUUAAUAGAGUAUAUUUAGGCGCUUGAGAGAAUGAUGUUGAAGGAACUCGGCAAAAUGCUUCCGUAACUUCGGGAUAAGGAAGACCCUUUUGUAGGCAACUAUAGAAGGGUGGCACAAGCCAGGGAGAAGCGACUGUUUAUCAAAAACACAGGGCUCUGCUAACACGUAAGUGGAUGUAUAGGGUCUGACGCCUGCCCGGUGCUGGAAGGUUAAUGCGGUUGGUGCAAGCUAACUUCUGAAGCCCCAGUAAACGGCGGCCGUAACUAUAACGGUCCUAAGGUAGCGAAAUUCCUUGUCGGGUAAGUUCCGACCUGCAUGAAUGGCGUAACGAUUUCUCCGCUGUCUCCAACAUCAACUCAGUGAAAUUGAAUUCUCCGUGAAGAUGCGGAGUUCGCGUAGUUAGACGGAAAGACCCCGUGCACCUUUACUGCAACUUUACAUUGGUGUUAGGAAAAACAUAUUUAGCAUAGGAGGGAGACUUUGAAGCAGAGGCGUCAGCUUUUGUGGAGUCACCAGUGAAAUACCUCUUUUGUUUUUCUUGACAUCUAACUGAUAGCCGUCAUCCGGCAUCAAGACAUUGUAUGGUGGGUAGUUUGACUGGGGCGGUCGCCUCCCAAAUAGUAACGGAGGCGUGCGAAGGUAGGCUCAGAACGGUCAGAAAUCGUUCGUAGAGU
RNAcentral lists this ribosomal RNA (1807 nucleotides) under marine metagenome. Its description in RNAcentral is "bacterial LSU rRNA". It matches the Rfam family "Bacterial large subunit ribosomal RNA", at positions 440 to 2350 of the family's 2925-position model. The record is from RNAcentral.